Molecule: ribosomal RNA, 793 nt
Filed under: Rhodothermus marinus
Lineage: Bacteria; Pseudomonadati; Rhodothermota; Rhodothermia; Rhodothermales; Rhodothermaceae
Description: bacterial SSU rRNA
Rfam family: Bacterial small subunit ribosomal RNA
Source: RNAcentral
GGAGAGUUUGAUCAUGGCUCAGGACGAACGCUGGCGGCGGGCUUCAUACAUGCAAGUCGAACGAGAAAGUAUCCUUCGGGAUGCGAGUACAGUGGCGCACGGGUGAGUAACGCGUAGGCAACCUGCCCUUGAGUGGGGAAUAACCAUCGGAAACGGUGGCUAAUACCGCAUACAGUCGUGCAUCGCAUGGUGCACGAUGAAAGUCUUCGGACGCUCGGGGAUGGGCCUGCGUCGGAUUAGUUUGUAGGUAGGGUAACGGCCUACCUAGGCAACGAUCCGUAGCUGGUCUGAGAGGACGAUCAGCCACACUGGCACUGAGACACGGGCCAGACUUCUACGGAAGGCAGCAGUAGGGAAUAUUGGGCAAUGGGCGAAAGCCUGACCCAGCCACGCCGCGUGGAGGAAGACACCCCUAUGGGGCGUAAACUCCUUUUAUACGGGAAGAACCCCUCCCUCAGGGAGCCUGACGGUACCGUAUGAAUAAGCACCGGCUAACUCCGUGCCAGCAGCCGCGGUAAUACGGAGGGUGCAAGCGUUGUCCGGAUUCACUGGGUGUAAAGGGUGUGUAGGCGGGACGGUAUGUCAGAGGUGAAAGCCCACGGCUCAACCGUGGAAUUGCCUUUGAAACUGCCGUUCUUGAGUCUCGGAGAGGUCGCUGGAAUUCGUGGUGUAGCGGUGAAAUGCGUAGAUAUCACGAGGAACACCAGAGGCGUAGGCGGGCGACUGGACGAGUACUGACGCUGAGGCACGAAAGCGUGGGGAGCAAACAGGAUUAGAUACCCUGGAAUCACUA